GACGAACGCUGGCGGCGUGCUUAACACAUGCAAGUCGAACGCUGAAGCUCAGCUUUUGUUGGGUGGAUGAGUGGCGAACGGGUGAGUAACACGUGAGUAACCUGCCUCCUUCUUUGGGAUAACGCCCGGAAACGGGUGCUAAUACUGGAUAUUCACUGGUCUUCGCAUGGGGGUUGGUGGAAAGGGUUUUUCUGGUGGGGGAUGGGCUCGCGGCCUAUCAGCUUGUUGGUGGGGUGAUGGCCUACCAAGGCUUUGACGGGUAGCCGGCCUGAGAGGGUGACCGGUCACAUUGGGACUGAGAUACGGCCCAGACUCCUACGGGAGGCAGCAGUGGGGAAUAUUGCACAAUGGGCGCAAGCCUGAUGCAGCGACGCCGCGUGAGGGAUGGAGGCCUUCGGGUUAUGAACCUCUUUCGCUCAUGGUCAAGCCGCAACAAUGGUUGUGGUGAGGGUAGUGGGUAAAGAAGCGCCGGCUAACUACGUG
This 483-nucleotide ribosomal RNA is filed under the name uncultured bacterium. Its description in RNAcentral is "partial 16S ribosomal RNA". It matches the Rfam family "Bacterial small subunit ribosomal RNA", at positions 28 to 507 of the family's 1533-position model. The record is from RNAcentral.